GCACCCGUAGCUCAGGGGAUAGAGCGUCGGUUUCCUAAACCGUGCGUCACAGGUUCAAAUCCUGUCGGGUGCA
This 73-nucleotide transfer RNA is filed under the name Peptoclostridium litorale DSM 5388. It matches the Rfam family "tRNA". From Rfam's summary of the family: Transfer RNA (tRNA) molecules are approximately 80 nucleotides in length. Their secondary structure includes four short double-helical elements and three loops (D, anti-codon, and T loops). Lineage: Bacteria; Bacillati; Bacillota; Clostridia; Peptostreptococcales; Peptoclostridiaceae. The record is from Rfam by way of RNAcentral.